This 981-nucleotide long non-coding RNA is filed under the name Nicotiana tabacum (common tobacco). RNAcentral describes it as "long non-coding RNA (NTAB_LNC018120)". Lineage: Eukaryota; Viridiplantae; Streptophyta; Magnoliopsida; Solanales; Solanaceae. The record is from RNAcentral.
UUGAAAAAAAAUCAAAGGGGAAGUGUUUGAGGAAGUGGACAGAUUUGGUUUGUUUACGGCGUAGACGAUUCGAACGUCCCCAAGUUGUGAUUGAACUGUUUCGUGGUAAACACCAAGGUUUGUGUAUAAACUUGUACUCUUUUGGCUUGCUUGAAUAUGUUGAAAUAACUUGAUAUUUUAUUUUUCUUGGCUUCAAUUUAUAUUGUUAUAUUCGUACUAUAUCAAGUAUUGUAAGAUAUUUGUUAAAUCGCCCAUUCGUACGGAUUGUUUGAUCAUUUUGCAUUCUUGUUAGGACUUUGUCCUUCUUGUGGCAGUGACUUUGUCACUCAUCUUGGCAUGCCUCUUGAUUCAGAUCUUUUGCCAUCUUGACUUUGGAUUUGUAGUUCGUCUUGAAUUAUGGAACUUGUCCGUGUUAAGUACGAACUAGGAAGCCAUUUUAAUAUGGUUCUUGAUUUUCUUGUCUAUUGGGUUUUGACCCUACUUGAUUUGGGGCUUCGGUCCAUCUUGAUAUCUGAUUAUGCUUAGUGUGAUGACAUGACGUACAUAUUAGGCGAAAAAUGGAUAUUUGGUAUACUCUCUUAAACUGAUAGUAUACACUUUCUAGACUCUUGAACAUUGUUAUUGAUAUUUGGAAACACUUCAAAGUUUGAUAUUGAUAUGUUUGAUAUAUUUGUUUACUUGUUUUAAAUUAUGUUAAAUUGAGCUAACUAUGACUGAAAAGGGGAAUUGGAGAAUCUAAUGACUCCAAGCCUAAAGUUUAUACACCACUAAGCUUUAUGCUUAGCGAUAGUUGUUUUCUAUCGUAGGAAAUGUUCGGGAUGAAAUCUGAAGAUGGUCAGGGUGAAGUAGUCUUUUUGGGAGAAUUUAUUGAGAUCACAUUUGCAUAUGCACCUUGGUUUGCAUAGUUUUGGGACAUGUACAUGAUAUACAUGAUAUAUAUAUAUAUAUAUAUAUAUAUCUGUGUGUGUGUGUGUGUGUCAC